UACGUAGGUCGCAAGCGUUGUCCGGAAUCAUUGGGCGUAAAGCGCGUGUAGGCGGCUCGGUAAGUCUGCUGUGAAAGUCCAGGGCUCAACCCUGGAAUGCCGGUGGAUACUGUCGAGCUCGAGUCCGGAAGAGGCGAGUGGAAUUCCUGGUGUAGCGGUGAAAUGCGCAGAUAUCAGGAGGAACACCAAUAGCGAAGGCAGCUCGCUGGGACGGUACUGACGCUAAGGCGCGAAAGCGUGGGGAGCGAACAGG
This 253-nucleotide ribosomal RNA is filed under the name uncultured bacterium. RNAcentral describes it as "partial 16S ribosomal RNA". It matches the Rfam family "Bacterial small subunit ribosomal RNA", at positions 524 to 776 of the family's 1533-position model. The record is from RNAcentral.